RNAcentral lists this ribosomal RNA (497 nucleotides) under uncultured bacterium. RNAcentral's name for it is "partial 16S ribosomal RNA". It matches the Rfam family "Bacterial small subunit ribosomal RNA", at positions 28 to 507 of the family's 1533-position model. The record is from RNAcentral.
GAUGAACGCUGGCGGCGUGCCUAAUACAUGCAAGUCGAGCGAACAGACGAGGAGCUUGCUCCUCUGACGUUAGCGGCGGACGGGUGGGUAACACGUGGAUAACCUACCUAUAAGACUGGGAUAACUUCGGGAAACCGGAGCUAAUACCGGAUAAUAUAUUGAACCGCAUGGUUCAAUAGUGAAAGACGGUUUUGCUGUCACUUAUAGAUGGAUCCGCGCCGCAUUAGCUAGUUGGUAAGGUAACGGCUUACCAAGGCAACGAUGCGUAGCCGACCUGAGAGGGUGAUCGGCCACACUGGAACUGAGACACGGUCCAGACUCCUACGGGAGGCAGCAGUAGGGAAUCUUCCGCAAAGGGCGAAAGCCUGACGGAGCAACGCCGCGUGAGUGAUGAAGGUCUUCGGAUCGUAAAACUCUGUUAUUAGGGAAGAACAAAUGUGUAAGUAACUAUGCACGUCUUGACGGUACCUAAUCAGAAAGCCACGGCUAACUACGUG